CGGGUAGACCUCCCACCCUUUGUAUACCUUACCUUUUGUUGCUUUGGCGGGCCGCCUAGCUACUGGCUUCGGCUGGUAAGUGCCCGCCAGAGGACCCAAACCCAAACCCAUUUAUAGUGUCGUCUGAGAAAAAAGUUUAAUAUUUAAAACUUUCAACAACGGAUCUCUUGGCUCUGGCAUCGAUGAAGAACGCAGCGAAAUGCGAUAAGUAAUGUGAAUUGCAGAAUUCAGUGAAUCAUCGAAUCUUUGAACGCACAUUGCGCCCCUUGGUAUUCCGAGGGGCAUGCCUAUUCGAGCGUCAUUAUCACCCCUCAAGCUCCGGCUUGGUGUUGAGGCCUGCUGUAAAGGCACCCUCUAAAAUCAGUGGCAGUGCCGUCAGGCUCUAAGCGUAGUAAUUUCAUCGCUAUAGACCCGAGCGGACCCUCGCCAGAAACCCCCCAUUUUUUAAUGAUUGACCUCGGAUUAGGUAGGGAUACCCGCUGAACUUAAGCAUAUCAAUAAGCGGAGGAA
This 510-nucleotide ribosomal RNA is filed under the name uncultured Helotiales. Its description in RNAcentral is "eukaryotic LSU rRNA". The stretch from base 148 to 301 matches the Rfam family "5.8S ribosomal RNA". The record is from RNAcentral. Lineage: Eukaryota; Fungi; Ascomycota; Leotiomycetes; Helotiales.